GACAUCCUUUGACAACUCUAGAGAUAGAGCAUUCCCCUUCGGGGGACAAAGUGACAGGUGGUGCAUGGUUGUCGUCAGCUCGUGUCGUGAGAUGUUGGGUUAAGUCCCGCAACGAGCGCAACCCUUAAGCUUAGUUGCCAUCAUUAAGUUGGGCACUCUAAGUUGACUGCCGGUGACAAACCGGAGGAAGGUGGGGAUGACGUCAAAUCAUCAUGCCCCUUAUGAUUUGGGCUACACACGUGCUACAAUGGACAAUACAAAGGGCAGCGAAACCGCGAGGUCAAGCAAAUCCCAUAAAGUUGUUCUCAGUUCGGAUUGUAGUCUGCAACUCGACUACAUGAAGCUGGAAUCGCUAGUAAUCGUAGAUCAGCAUGCUACGGUGAAUACGUUCCCGGGUCUUGUACACACCGCCCGUCACACCACGAGAGUUUGUAACACCCGAAGCCGGUGGAGUAACCUUUUAGGAGCUAGCCGUCGAAGGUGGGACAAAUGAUUGGGGUGAAGUCGUAACAAGGUAGCCGUAUCGGAAGGUGCGGCUGGAUCACCUCCUUUCUAAGGA
RNAcentral lists this ribosomal RNA (559 nucleotides) under Staphylococcus argenteus. Its description in RNAcentral is "bacterial SSU rRNA". It matches the Rfam family "Bacterial small subunit ribosomal RNA", at positions 983 to 1533 of the family's 1533-position model. The record is from RNAcentral. Lineage: Bacteria; Bacillati; Bacillota; Bacilli; Caryophanales; Staphylococcaceae.